This 1508-nucleotide ribosomal RNA is filed under the name uncultured bacterium. RNAcentral's name for it is "partial 16S ribosomal RNA". It matches the Rfam family "Bacterial small subunit ribosomal RNA". The record is from RNAcentral.
AGAGUUUGAUCCUGGCUCAGGACGAACGCUGGCGGCGUGCCUAAUACAUGCAAGUAGAACGCUGAAGGAGGAGCUUGCUCUUCUGGAUGAGUUGCGAACGGGUGAGUAACGCGUAGGUAACCUGCCUGGUAGCGGGGGAUAACUAUUGGAAACGAUAGCUAAUACCGCAUAACAGUAGAUGUCGCAUGACAUUUGCUUAAAAGGUGCAAUUGCAUCACUACCAGAUGGACCUGCGUUGUAUUAGCUAGUUGGUGAGGUAACGGCUCACCAAGGCAACGAUACAUAGCCGACCUGAGAGGGUGAUCGGCCACACUGGGACUGAGACACGGCCCAGACUCCUACGGGAGGCAGCAGUAGGGAAUCUUCGGCAAUGGACGGAAGUCUGACCGAGCAACGCCGCGUGAGUGAAGAAGGUUUUCGAAUCGUAAAGCUCUGUUGUAAGAGAAGAACGAGUGUGAGAGUGGAAAGUUCACACUGUGACGGUAUCUUACCAGAAAGGGACGGCUAACUACGUGCCAGCAGCCGCGGUAAUACGUAGGUCCCGAGCGUUGUCCGGAUUUAUUGGGCGUAAAGCGAGCGCAGGCGGUUAGAUAAGUCUGAAGUUAAAGGCUGUGGCUUAACCAUAGUACGCUUUGGAAACUGUUUAACUUGAGUGCAAGAGGGGAGAGUGGAAUUCCAUGUGUAGCGGUGAAAUGCGUAGAUAUAUGGAGGAACACCGGUGGCGAAAGCGGCUCUCUGGCUUGUAACUGACGCUGAGGCUCGAAAGCGUGGGGAGCAAACAGGAUUAGAUACCCUGGUAGUCCACGCCGUAAACGAUGAGUGCUAGGUGUUNGACCNUUUCCGGGGUUUAGUGCNGUNGNUAANGCAUNANCCAUUCGGCUUGGGGAGUAGGACGGCAGGUUUGAAAUUCAAAGAAAUGGAGGGGGGCCGGCCCAAGGGUUGGGGCUUGUGUUUUAUUUGGAAGAAAGGGGAGGACCUUUACCAGUUCUUAACUUCCUUUUGACCGUUUUGGAGUUAGAGUUUUCUUUGGGAACGGAGGUGACAGGUGGUGCAUGGUGUUGUUCAGUUGGUUUGGUGAGAUGUUGGGUUAAUUCCGGAAAGGGGGGCAACCCUUAUUUUUGGUUGCCUUCAUUCAGUGGGGCAUUUUGGGGGGAUUGCGGUUAUUAAACGGGAGGAGGGUGGGGAGGAGUUAAAUUCUUCUUGCCCUUUUUAACUUGGGUUCCACAGGUGUUCCAAUGGUUGUUAAAAGGAUUGGCAAGCGGGGGAGGCCAAGUUAUUUUUUUAAAGCCAUUUUCAUUUGGGAUGUUGGGUGGAAAUUGGCUUCCAGGAAUUGGGAUUGGUUGGUAUUGGGGAAUAAGCAGGCGGGGGGGAUUAGGUUCCGGGCCUUGGUAAACACGGCCGUUAACACCAGGGGAGUUGGUACCACCGGAGUUGGUUGGGGUACCCUUUGGGACCCACCGCCUUAGGUUGGGUUGGAGGAUGGGGGGGAGUUGUUACCAAGGUAACCA